UUCGGCUGUCAUAGCGAAGGGGAAACGCCCGGUCCCAUUCCGAACCCGGAAGCUAAGCCCUUCAGCGCCGAUGGUACUGCACUGGUGA
Molecule: ribosomal RNA, 88 nt
Filed under: Salmonella enterica
Lineage: Bacteria; Pseudomonadati; Pseudomonadota; Gammaproteobacteria; Enterobacterales; Enterobacteriaceae
Source: RNAcentral